RNAcentral lists this ribosomal RNA (442 nucleotides) under uncultured bacterium. Its description in RNAcentral is "partial 16S ribosomal RNA". It matches the Rfam family "Bacterial small subunit ribosomal RNA", at positions 338 to 795 of the family's 1533-position model. The record is from RNAcentral.
CCUACGGGUGACAGCAGUGGGGAAUAUUGGUCAAUGGGCGUAAGCCUGACCCAGCCACGUCGCGUGAGGGAUGAAGGCUUUCUGGUUCUUAACUUCCUUUUACAGGGAAGUGUAGAAGACGGUGUCUGUUGUAUUAGCCACGUCUAACUAAGUGCCAUCAGCUACGGUAAUACGGCGGUGGCAUGCGUUGUCCGGAUUGCCUGGGUGUAAAGGGCGUGUUGCCUGUCUGACAAGUCAGUGGUGAAAUUCUGUGGCUUAACCGCAGAAUUGCAGUUGAAACUGUUGAUCUUGAGUAUGUGAGAGGCAGACGGAAUGCCUAGUGUAGCGGUGAAAUGCGUAGAGAUUACGAGGAACACCAGUGGCGAAGGCGGUCUGCUAGGCAGUGACUGACGGUGAGGCGCGAAAGCGUGGGGAGCAAACAGGAUUAGAUACCCGUGUAGUC